This 253-nucleotide ribosomal RNA is filed under the name uncultured bacterium. Its description in RNAcentral is "partial 16S ribosomal RNA". It matches the Rfam family "Bacterial small subunit ribosomal RNA", at positions 524 to 776 of the family's 1533-position model. The record is from RNAcentral.
UACGGAGGAUGCAAGCGUUAUCCGGAAUGAUUGGGCGUAAAGCGUCCGCAGGUGGUUGUGUGUGUCUAUUGUCAAAGCAUCAUGCUUAACAUGAUAAAGGCAGUAGAAACUACACGACUAGAGUGCGUUCGGGGCAGAGGGAAUUCCUGGUGUAGCGGUGAAAUGCGUAGAGAUCAGGAAGAACACCGGUGGCGAAAGCGCUCUGCUAGGCCGCAACUGACACUGAGGGACGAAAGCUAGGGGAGCGAAGGGG